Long non-coding RNA from Sebastes umbrosus (honeycomb rockfish), 470 nucleotides. RefSeq lists it as uncharacterized. The record is from RefSeq and is a predicted model, not a curated record. The transcript has 2 exons. NCBI's taxonomy places the organism in Eukaryota, Metazoa, Chordata, Actinopteri, Perciformes, Sebastidae.
UGCCUAACACCAACGUUUAAAGUUAACGGCUUUUAAACGUUCGACAUUUUUGAAUUUUUAAAAUCAACCGUUAGAAAUUCAAAAAAACGGUCACAGCUCGAGCUCAAAGGAACGUUACCAUGGAUAUAACGUUCCGUAAUCAACCGUUAAUUUUAAACUAUGCUAGCAGCCACCAAUAGGAGAAAAGGAGGAAGCGGACAGGCCCACUCUGGCCGGUGAAGAGCGUGUGCGCUGCUGUGUGGGCCGGAUCGCUCCGGAGUUUCUGUCUUGAACAGCGAGCAUUAGUCACCCAGGUUGGUGGAUGAAGAGAACAAGUAGCUCAGGUGGGUGGAAGUGCCCUCAUAUUGGAUCACAGAGAGGCCUCCAAAACAAAGAACAAUGCCUCUGAGAUGAGACGCUGAAAGAGAGCGUUUAUCUAAACGGGGCUUCAAAAAUAAAUGUAUUUUAGGGCCGCUUAUGCCUAACAGAGA